RNAcentral lists this ribosomal RNA (253 nucleotides) under uncultured bacterium. RNAcentral describes it as "partial 16S ribosomal RNA". It matches the Rfam family "Bacterial small subunit ribosomal RNA", at positions 524 to 776 of the family's 1533-position model. The record is from RNAcentral.
UACAGAGGGUGCGAGCGUUGUCCGGAAUCACUGGGCGUAAAGGGCGCGUAGGUGGCGCUGCAAGUCGGUGGUGAAAGCUCGAUGCUUAACAUCGAGUCGGCCAUCGAAACUGCAGGGCUCGAGCACUGUAGGGGCGGAUGGAAUUCCGGGUGUAGCGGUGGAAUGCGUAGAGAUCCGGAAGAACACCGGUGGCGAAGGCGGUCUGCUGGGCAGUUGCUGACACUGAGGCGCGACAGCGUGGGGAGCAAACAGG